GAUGAAGAACGUAGUGAAAUGCGAUAAGUAAUGUGAAUUGCAGAAUUCAGUGAAUCAUCGAAUCUUUGAACGCACAUUGCGCCCGUCAGUAUUCUGGCGGGCAUGCCUGUUCGAGCGUCAUUACGCCCCUCAAGUCCCCUGUGGACUUGGUGUUGGGGAUCGGAGAGGCUGGUUUUCCAGCACAGCCGUCCCUUAAAUUAAUUGGCGGUCUCGCCGUGGCCCUCCUCUGCGCAGUAGUAAAACACUCGCAACAGGAGCCCGGCGCGGUCCACUGCCGUAAAACCCCCCAACUUUUUAUAGUUGACCUCGAAUCAGGUAGGACUACCCGCUGAACUUAAGCAUAUCAAUAAGCGGAGGA
This 358-nucleotide unclassified non-coding RNA is filed under the name soil metagenome. Its description in RNAcentral is "partial contains 5.8S ribosomal RNA, internal transcribed spacer 2, and large subunit ribosomal RNA". The stretch from base 1 to 120 matches the Rfam family "5.8S ribosomal RNA", at positions 35 to 154 of the family's 154-position model. The record is from RNAcentral.